GAUGAACGCUGGCGGCGUGCCUAAUACAUGCAAGUCGAGCGAACAGAUGAUGAGCUUGCUCCUCUGACGUUAGCGGCGGACGGGUGAGUAACACGUGGAUAACCUACCUAUAAGACUGGGAUAACUUCGGGAAACCGGAGCUAAUACCGGAUAAUAUAUUGAACCGCAUGGUUCAAUAGUGAAAGACGGUUUUGCUGUCACUUAUAGAUGGAUCCGCGCCGCAUUAGCUAGUUGGUAAGGUAACGGCUUACCAAGGCAACGAUGCGUAGCCGACCUGAGAGGGUGAUCGGCCACACUGGAACUGAGACACGGUCCAGAGUCCUACGGGAGGCAGCAGUAGGGAAUCUUCCGCAAUGGGCGAAAGCCUGACGGAGCAACGCCGCGUGAGUGAUGAAGGUCUUCGGAUCGUAAAACUCUGUUAUUAGGGAAGAACAAAUGUGUAAGUAAAUAUGCACGUCUUGACGGUACCUAAUCAGAAAGCCACGGCUAACUACGUG
RNAcentral lists this ribosomal RNA (497 nucleotides) under uncultured bacterium. RNAcentral's name for it is "partial 16S ribosomal RNA". It matches the Rfam family "Bacterial small subunit ribosomal RNA", at positions 28 to 507 of the family's 1533-position model. The record is from RNAcentral.